RNAcentral lists this unclassified non-coding RNA (207 nucleotides) under Hevea brasiliensis (rubber tree). The record is from RNAcentral. Lineage: Eukaryota; Viridiplantae; Streptophyta; Magnoliopsida; Malpighiales; Euphorbiaceae.
AAAAAAUGCUUCUUUCCACCGUCUCACAAUUGGUGCUAAGUAUAAUUCUUGAUAACAAUUGAACCGAAUCCAAUCUUAUCAAAGACUGCUCCCCACCUUUUUCUAGGGCUUCCUGGGUUCAAGAUCAUUGUUGGGGUUGUUUUCUUUUUGUUCCUAGAUCCAAAUUGUUGAAAAUUCUCUUCUGGGUCGGUUCUUGAUUCUGAAAAA